UUUUUUCAGUUCGCCAAUCACUCUCUCUCUCUCUCCCUCCCUUUCUCUCUCCCUCUCUCGCUCUCGUAUGUGCAAGUGCACCGGGCGCUUACUUCUCUUCUGAGCGGGCACUGCAGGGGAAGAAACGAACGAACCCACCAUGGAAUAGGAAUAACUGCUGGACAAAACGGGGAAAGACAGCCUCUUUCAUCUUUAUUCUUUAUUCUUUAUUCCCCCCUUCUUUUCCCUGACACCCCCUUUUUCUCUUUUUUUCUCGCAUCCCCCCUGUUUGCCUCUCUCAAUGUCUCUCAACAGUUUCUGAAGGGAUUGAAGGAAAAGGCAAAAAAAAAAAAAAAAAAAAAUGAGGAUUAUUAUUUUGUCUUGGCACUUUCUCUGGGUGCUUUCCGCCCUUUGGGAGGUGGCGACGGGGGCUUUCCCCAGCUCAGUGCAGAUAGGCGGGUUGUUCAUUAGGAAUACAGAUCAGGAGUAUACAGCAUUUCGACUAGCUAUCUUCCUUCACAACACCAGCCCUAAUGCCACAGAAGCUCCUUUUAACCUGGUCCCGCAUGUCGACAACAUAGAGACAGCCAACAGCUUUGCUGUCACCAACGCAUUCUGUUCUCAGUAUUCAAGGGGAGUCUUUGCCAUCUUCGGCCUUUACGACAAGCGCUCGGUGAACACGCUGACGUCGUUCUGUGGGGCCCUGCACAUCAGCCUUGUGACCCCCAGCUUUCCCACUGAAGGCGAGGGCCAGUUCACCCUGCAGCUGCGACCGUCCAUCAGAGGGGCUUUGCUGUCACUGUUGGACCAUUAUGACUGGAGUCGAUUUGUCUUCCUGUAUGACACAGACCGAGGUUAUGCAAUACUGCAGGCAAUUAUGGAGAGAGCGGGACAGAAUGGAUGGCAGGUGAGUGCAAUCUGUGUGGAGAGUUUCAAUGAGGCAGCGUAUCGCCGGCUGCUCGAGGAUCUGGACCGACGUCAAGAGAGGAAAUAUGUCAUCGAUCUGGAGCCUGAGCGACUACAGAACAUCCUAGAACAGGCUGUCAGUGUGGGGAAACAUGUUAAAGGUUUCCAUUACAUCGUAGCAAACCUGGGAUUUAAAGACAUAUCUUUGGAGAGGUUCAUGCAUGGAGGCGCAAACGUGACCGGUUUCCAGCUGGUGGACUUCAGCAAGCCCAUAGUCAUUAAACUGAUGCAGCGCUGGAACAAACUGGAUCAGAGGGAGUACCCUGGAUCUGACACCCCACCGAAGUAUACCUCGUCUCUAACGUAUGAUGGCGUCCUCGUGAUGGCCGAGGCCUUCCGCACCCUGCGCCGUCAGAAGAUUGAUAUCAGUCGCCGUGGAAACGCUGGUGACUGCCUGGCCAAUCCGGCUGCUCCCUGGAACCAAGGAAUAGAUAUGGAGCGUGCACUCAAACAGGUACGCAUUCAGGGCCUGACUGGGAACAUUCAGUUUGAUCACUAUGGUCGAAGGGUCAACUAUACCAUGGACGUGUUUGAACUGAAGAGUAACGGACCACGGAAGAUUGGCUACUGGAACGACAUCGACAAACUUGUGUUGGUCCAGAAUGAAAAUGCUCUGUCCAAUGACAGCUCGGCGAUGGAGAACCGAACUGUUGUUGUGACUACCAUCAUGGAGGGUCCCUAUGUGAUGCUGAAGAAGAACUGGGAACUCUACGAAGGCAACGACCAGUUCGAGGGAUACUGUGUGGACCUGGCGUCAGAGAUCGCCAAACACAUUGGGAUCAAGUAUAAGAUCUCCAUCGUACCAGAUGGGAAAUAUGGAGCCAGAGAUCCAGAGACUAAGAUAUGGAAUGGCAUGGUUGGAGAGCUUGUGUAUGGGAAAGCGGAAAUAGCCGUGGCCCCUCUGACCAUCACCCUGGUGAGAGAGGAGGUGAUUGACUUCUCAAAGCCCUUCAUGUCUCUGGGUAUAUCCAUCAUGAUCAAGAAGCCGCAGAAGUCUAAACCAGGUGUCUUCUCUUUCCUGGACCCGCUGGCCUACGAGAUCUGGAUGUGCAUAGUGUUCGCUUAUAUUGGAGUCAGUGUUGUGCUGUUUUUGGUGAGCCGCUUCAGUCCGUACGAGUGGCACGCAGAGGAGCCAGAGGAGGGCGCCACAGAGCAGGGCCCGACCGACCAGCCUCCCAAUGAGUUUGGCAUCUUCAACUCUCUGUGGUUCUCACUGGGAGCUUUCAUGCAACAGGGCUGCGACAUCUCACCACGCUCUCUGUCAGGACGCAUUGUCGGAGGCGUGUGGUGGUUCUUCACCCUCAUCAUCAUCUCCUCUUACACAGCCAACCUGGCUGCCUUCCUUACUGUGGAGAGGAUGGUCUCACCCAUCGAGAGUGCAGAGGAUCUGGCCAAACAAACAGAAAUAGCCUAUGGGACAUUGGACUCCGGCUCCACUAAAGAGUUCUUCAGGAGGUCCAAAAUAGCUGUGUAUGAGAAGAUGUGGUCAUAUAUGAAAUCUGCUGAGCCGACGGUCUUCACCAAAACCACGGCGGAAGGCGUGGCGAGGGUCCGCAAGUCCAAAGGGAAGUAUGCCUUCCUCCUGGAGUCCACAAUGAACGAGUACACGGAGCAGCGCAAGCCUUGUGACACCAUGAAAGUCGGGGGGAACCUGGACUCCAAAGGAUACGGCAUUGCCACACCAAAAGGCUCACAGUUAAGGUGGGUGGAAUAGUGUAACAAUAGGAGACAGUAACAAAGCUGAUACUGUACUAUUGCUGCGAUAUUCCACCUACCCUACUGUGCCUUUUAUAUUACAUGUAAUUGAGCCUGUCCCUGCUGUCAGGUGAAAACAUCUCAUAUCCAAUUGGACUUGGUCAGAACUUGUUUCGAUCUGACAUUCAGGAGUUAUGAGGAUAACUCACUCAAUCUAAGGCAUCAUUGCAGUGUUUGGAAUGUAACAGGUUUUCACCCAUCAGCAGCGAUGGACGAGCGCAUUGAGAAUGCAAAUUUCAUCAUGUUUCCUUCCCCUUUUUGAUUUCUUUAUCCCCCUGUUUCUGGCUCUUUCCUUUCUUGUGCUACCCACCUGUUAAUUUAGGGCCAGUUAGCUCCACUUCUGUGUCCUGUGUCAUGUCGUUUGUCCGUCCUCUACUGCUUGUGCCCAUCCUCAUUGUCCCUGCUCUUUCAGUCGCUCUGUUUCUCCACAGGGCCACCUUACAGGUAACUCUUUCCAUUUGUCUGUUGUCCCGUCCCUUUGUUUCUUUCAUGCUGAGAAAUGGUAGUCAUGAUGAUGAUGAUGAUGAUGCUGAUGAUGAUGAUUGUAGGUGCAUUUUAUUAACUGGAUGUGACUGCAAGGAGGGGCAGAACCUCUGACUGCUGCCACUACAAACAGGGCCACAAGGGGGAAUUUAUAGAUGAACAGCAAACCAAAAGUGAGAAAUGGAAAGUUGAGGGGCCUGGCCAACGGGGGGAAUAGAAAUUCAUCACAAUACAGGAUCCUACACAAAAAAAUACUGAGACACAAAUGACUUCAAUUGAACAAUGUCAAACGAAAUCAAACCCAAAUCGAGCAGUACUCGGUGGUCUAUUCAAAGAAAUGCGUGACAGUGUGUGUAUUUGUCAGACAGUGUACGGUGGAGGAAGCAAACAUGGAACUGGAUAUUGGCACCAAAGUUGGUCCUUUUGUUUUGGUUUUCCCUCAGAAGCCACUUGUUUAUCUGGCUUGUUAACAUGAGCCUAAAGAAACAGUCCCAGAAGGUUUCCCUGAGGUAUACUGGCAAUGAAAGUAAUUAUUUUUCUACAAGUGACUGUGACAUGCAGAGACAAAGUCUUCACAAUGUGACAAGUGUCUCUUGAGGGAAAAUAAUUGAAUAAAUUCAGUAAAGCUGGACCACUCUCUCUCUCUCUCUCUCUCUCUCUCUCUCUCUCUCUCUCUUUCUCUCUCUCUCUUUCUCUCUCUCUCUCUCUCUCUCUCUCUCCCCCUCCCUCGCUUCACCUCUCUCUGUCAGCCAAACCAGAACGUUACAUCAGCCUCACAUCCUAUCCCUAUAACUUCCCCCUGUGUGUGGUGCAAACGAGCCCCUUAAAACCACAGUCACUGUCGUUUAUCUCUUGUUACUGACAAAAUUGGUUUUUCCGUUUAUGGGGGAAAAGUGACAGACAGCGGGUGGGUAGGUUUCUUUCCUCUCCCCACACCAAAAAAAAAACAAAAAAAAAAAAACAUUUACUGGGACUAUCCACAGUUGUCUCUGACUUCUCUCAAUCAGCGGAAAACCCUGUCUACCAGGUGCACGCAUGUGGCUGGGAGUGUGCACGUCAGAAAUGCGGUCAACCUGGCCGUGCUAAAGCUCAACGAGCAGGGCCUGUUGGACAAAUUGAAAAACAAGUGGUGGUAUGACAAAGG
This is an RNA transcript of Solea solea (common sole), 4327 nucleotides long. It is a transcript of the gene named glutamate receptor, ionotropic, AMPA 4a, with no coding region annotated. The transcript has 16 exons. NCBI's taxonomy places the organism in Eukaryota, Metazoa, Chordata, Actinopteri, Pleuronectiformes, Soleidae. The record is from RefSeq and is a predicted model, not a curated record.